UGGGGAAUAUUGCACAAUGGGCGCAAGCCUGAUGCAGCCAUGCCGCGUGUGUGAAGAAGGCCUUCGGGUUGUAAAGCACUUUCAGCGAGGAGGAAGGGUAGUGUGUUAAUAGCACAUUGCAUUGACGUUACUCGCAGAAGAAGCACCGGCUAACUCCGUGCCAGCAGCCGCGGUAAUACGGAGGGUGCAAGCGUUAAUCGGAAUUACUGGGCGUAAAGCGCACGCAGGCGGUUUGUUAAGUCAGAUGUGAAAUCCCCGCGCUUAACGUGGGAACUGCAUUUGAAACUGGCAAGCUAGAGUCUUGUAGAGGGGGGUAGAAUUCCAGGUGUAGCGGUGAAAUGCGUAGAGAUCUGGAGGAAUACCGGUGGCGAAGGCGGCCCCCUGGACAAAGACUGACGCUCAGGUGCGAAAGCAUGGGGAGCAAACA
Molecule: ribosomal RNA, 427 nt
Filed under: uncultured bacterium
Lineage: Bacteria
Description: partial 16S ribosomal RNA
Rfam family: Bacterial small subunit ribosomal RNA
Source: RNAcentral